This 254-nucleotide ribosomal RNA is filed under the name uncultured bacterium. RNAcentral describes it as "partial 16S ribosomal RNA". It matches the Rfam family "Bacterial small subunit ribosomal RNA", at positions 524 to 776 of the family's 1533-position model. The record is from RNAcentral.
UACGUAGGGUGCGAGCGUUAAUCGGAUUUACUGGGCGUAAAGGGCGCGUAGGCGGUCAGCACAAGUCAGUUGUGAAAUCUCCGGGCUUAACUCGGAAAGGUCAACUGAUACUGUGCGACUAGAGUGCGGAAGGGGCAACUGGAAUUCUCGGUGUAGCGGUGAAAUGCGUAGAUAUCGAGAGGAACACCUGCGGCGAAGGCGGGUUGCUGGGCCGACAUUGACGCUGAGGAGCGAAAGCCAGGGGAGCAAACGGG